GACGAAGGAUGCAAGCGUUAUCCGGAUUCAUUGGGUUUAAAGGGUGCGUAGGCGGACUGAUAAGUCAGUGGUGAAAUCUCUCAGCUUAACUGAGAAACUGCCAUUGAUACUGUCAGUCUAGAGUAUAGAUGACGUUGGCGGAAUAUGACAUGUAGUGGUGAAAUACUUAGAUAUGUCAUAGAACACCGAUUGCGAAGGCAGCUAACGAAACUAUAACUGACGCUGAGGCACGAAAGUGCGGGGAUCAAACAGG
RNAcentral lists this ribosomal RNA (253 nucleotides) under uncultured bacterium. RNAcentral's name for it is "partial 16S ribosomal RNA". It matches the Rfam family "Bacterial small subunit ribosomal RNA", at positions 524 to 776 of the family's 1533-position model. The record is from RNAcentral.